This 412-nucleotide ribosomal RNA is filed under the name Campyloneurus sp. Its description in RNAcentral is "partial 16S ribosomal RNA". Lineage: Eukaryota; Metazoa; Arthropoda; Insecta; Hymenoptera; Braconidae. The record is from RNAcentral.
GUCUUUAAGAUUUUUAAUUUAAAGUCUAAUCUGCCCAAUGAAAUUUUUAAAUGGCUGCAGAAUUUUUACUGUACUAAGGUAGCAUAAUAAUUUGUUUUUUAAUUAAAAACUAGAAUGAAAGAUUAAAUGAAAUAUAAACUUUUUCAAUUAAAUUAUAAUUUAACUUUUUAUUUAAGUAAAAAAACUUAAAUAAAACUUAAAGACGAUAAGACCCUAUAGAAUUUCAUUUAUUAAUUUUAAAUAUUUUAAAUUAAUAAAUUUUAUUGGGGUAAUAAAAAAAUUUAAAUAAUUUUUUUUUAAAAAUACAUUUUUACUGUUUAAAUUUAUCUUAAUUUUUAAAUUAAAAAAAUUAAUUACCUUAGGGAUAACAGCAUAAUUUUUUUUAAAAGAUCAUAUUAAUAAAAAAGAUUAU